UACGUAGGGGGGCAAGCGUUGUCCGGAUUUAUUGGGCGUAAAGAGCGUGUAGGCGGUUUGGUAGGUCCGCUGUGAAAACUCGAGGCUCAACCUCGAGACGCCGGUGGAAACCAUCAGACUAGAGUCCGGAAGAGGAGAGUGGAAUUCCUGGUGUAGCGGUGAAAUGCGCAGAUAUCAGGAGGAACACCGGUGGCGAAGGCGGGUCUCUGGGCAAUAACUGACGCUGAGGAGCGAAAGCGUGGGGGAGCGAACAGG
RNAcentral lists this ribosomal RNA (255 nucleotides) under uncultured bacterium. Its description in RNAcentral is "partial 16S ribosomal RNA". It matches the Rfam family "Bacterial small subunit ribosomal RNA", at positions 524 to 776 of the family's 1533-position model. The record is from RNAcentral.